Long non-coding RNA from Astyanax mexicanus (Mexican tetra), 472 nucleotides. RefSeq lists it as uncharacterized. Lineage: Eukaryota; Metazoa; Chordata; Actinopteri; Characiformes; Acestrorhamphidae. The record is from RefSeq and is a predicted model, not a curated record. The transcript has 4 exons.
UAUGGUUAAGGUUAUGAUUAGGUUAAGUUUAGGUUAUGGUGUAGGUUAUGGUAAGGCUACAGUUUAGGUUAAAUUUAGGUUAUGGUUAAGGUUAUGAUUAGGUUAAGUUUAGGUUAUGGUUAAGGUUAUGAUUAGGUUAAGUUUAGGUUAUGGUGUAGGUUAUGAUAAGGCUACAGUUUAGAUUAAGUCUAGGUUCUGGUUAAGGAUGUGAUAUGGCUACAGUUUAGGUUAAGUUUAGGUUAUGGUUAAGGAUAUGAUAAGGCUACAGUUUAGGUUAAGUUUAGGUUAUGGUUAAGGAUAUGAUAAGGCUACAGUUUAGAUUAAGUUUAGGUUAUGGUUAAGGAUAUGAUAAGGCUACAGUUUAGGUUAAGUUUAGGUUAUGGUUAAGGAUAUGAUAAGGCUACAGUUUAGGUUAAGUUUAGGUUAUGGUUAAGGAUAUGAUAAGGCUACAGUUUAGGUUAAGUUUAGGUUA